This 897-nucleotide ribosomal RNA is filed under the name Arthrobacter sp. RNAcentral's name for it is "bacterial SSU rRNA". It matches the Rfam family "Bacterial small subunit ribosomal RNA", at positions 519 to 1412 of the family's 1533-position model. Lineage: Bacteria; Bacillati; Actinomycetota; Actinomycetes; Micrococcales; Micrococcaceae. The record is from RNAcentral.
GGUAAUACGUAGGGCGCAAGCGUUAUCCGGAAUUAUUGGGCGUAAAGAGCUCGUAGGCGGUUUGUCGCGUCUGCCGUGAAAGUCCGGGGCUCAACUCCGGAUCUGCGGUGGGUACGGGCAGACUAGAGUGAUGUAGGGGAGACUGGAAUUCCUGGUGUAGCGGUGAAAUGCGCAGAUAUCAGGAGGAACACCGAUGGCGAAGGCAGGUCUCUGGGCAUUAACUGACGCUGAGGAGCGAAAGCAUGGGGAGCGAACAGGAUUAGAUACCCUGGUAGUCCAUGCCGUAAACGUUGGGCACUAGGUGUGGGGGACAUUCCACGUUUUCCGCGCCGUAGCUAACGCAUUAAGUGCCCCGCCUGGGGAGUACGGCCGCAAGGCUAAAACUCAAAGGAAUUGACGGGGGCCCGCACAAGCGGCGGAGCAUGCGGAUUAAUUCGAUGCAACGCGAAGAACCUUACCAAGGCUUGACAUGGGCCGGAUCGCCGCAGAAAUGUGGUUUCCCCUUUGGGGCCGGUUCACAGGUGGUGCAUGGUUGUCGUCAGCUCGUGUCGUGAGAUGUUGGGUUAAGUCCCGCAACGAGCGCAACCCUCGUUCUAUGUUGCCAGCGCGUUAUGGCGGGGACUCAUAGGAGACUGCCGGGGUCAACUCGGAGGAAGGUGGGGACGACGUCAAAUCAUCAUGCCCCUUAUGUCUUGGGCUUCACGCAUGCUACAAUGGCCGGUACAAAGGGUUGCGAUACUGUGAGGUGGAGCUAAUCCCAAAAAGCCGGUCUCAGUUCGGAUUGGGGUCUGCAACUCGACCCCAUGAAGUCGGAGUCGCUAGUAAUCGCAGAUCAGCAACGCUGCGGUGAAUACGUUCCCGGGCCUUGUACACACCGCCCGUCAAGUCACGAAAGUU